RNAcentral lists this small RNA (28 nucleotides) under Bombyx mori (domestic silkworm). RNAcentral's name for it is "ovarian small RNA-27439". The record is from RNAcentral. Lineage: Eukaryota; Metazoa; Arthropoda; Insecta; Lepidoptera; Bombycidae.
UCCCUUUUUAGCAAGAGCUAUGUAUGGG